RNAcentral lists this long non-coding RNA (561 nucleotides) under Vigna radiata. Its description in RNAcentral is "long non-coding RNA (VRAD_LNC010229)". Lineage: Eukaryota; Viridiplantae; Streptophyta; Magnoliopsida; Fabales; Fabaceae. The record is from RNAcentral.
AUAGCUAACACAAGACACCCUAGUAGAGGGCCUUCCUGUAGAGGAGCUUCUUUGAGAUGUUGGGUGGGAUGUAAAGUUCCUCAUUUUUCAAUCUCGACCCUUAAACCAACUGCAGCCGCAAUAGAGGUUUUGAGGAAAGCUUUCGAGCCGGAGGUAAAGCGAUGAAGGUUAGAGUUUUUUUUUAGGAGAGAAUGGGAAAGAAAAUGAUGAGGGUAUGUGAUGAGAUUGUGACAAUGGUUGUGGCUGUGAGUUGGAGUGUGGUGGCAAUGAACCCAUUUGUGGUGGCGGUCAAUGAAGUUAAGAGACGAGGGUGACUACAAUGAGAGAGUCACGUGAAUUGUGUUGAUUUGAAAUAUAGAAGAGAAGAUUAAAGGAAGGAAAAAAAAAAGAGAGGGAAACAAAAGUAAAAUUAGGGUUGUAAAAUCAGUAUGUAAAAUCAGUAGGUAAAAUUUGUUUUUAUUUACAUAUGGACUGUAAAUCAUUUAUAUACAGAUUUUGUUUUUUGCAAAUUUUCCUACCAUAACGCGCCUAAAUUAUAUGCGGAUUUUACAUACAGAAAAU